AUGCUUUCCCCAAUUUUCUCCACAACAUUCUUGACGGCCCUCUCUUCCAUUCUCUAUAUUUCCUGUGGAUCAAUCUCUUCAAAUUCAACCUCCCAUUUCACAAUUGUAUCUCUCUCUAUGUCUCAGACGCUACCAUCAACUGGCUUUGCUUUAGAUGGUAAGAAUUCAACACAGAAUUCGAAGUUGCUUAUAUAA
This 195-nucleotide ribosomal RNA is filed under the name Triticum aestivum (bread wheat). Its description in RNAcentral is "partial small subunit ribosomal RNA". Lineage: Eukaryota; Viridiplantae; Streptophyta; Magnoliopsida; Poales; Poaceae. The record is from RNAcentral.